AGCUGGAAACUUUGCCUGCAAAUUUAAGAGUUCAUGAAUUUCAGUCAUUGUUUCUGGUAGU
Gadus morhua (Atlantic cod) is the source of this 61-nucleotide microRNA precursor. NCBI's taxonomy places the organism in Eukaryota, Metazoa, Chordata, Actinopteri, Gadiformes, Gadidae. The record is from Ensembl.